RNAcentral lists this ribosomal RNA (660 nucleotides) under uncultured bacterium. Its description in RNAcentral is "bacterial SSU rRNA". It matches the Rfam family "Bacterial small subunit ribosomal RNA", at positions 32 to 740 of the family's 1533-position model. The record is from RNAcentral.
GACGCUGGCGGCAGGCCUAACACAUGCAAGUCGAACGCCCAGCAAUGGGAGUGGCAGACGGGAUAGUAACACGUGGGAACGCGCCCUUCGGUUCGGAAUAACUCAGGGAAACUUGAGCUAAUACCGGAUACGCCCUUACGGGGAAAGAUUUAUUGCCGAAGGAACGGCCCGCGUCGGAUUAGCUAGUUGGUGAGGUAAUGGCUCACCAAGGCGACGAUCCGUAGCUGGUCUGAGAGGAUGACCAGCAUCACUGGGACUGAGACACGGCCCAGACUCCUACGGGAGGCAGCAGUGGGGAAUAUUGGACAAUGGGCGCAAGCCUGAUCCAGCCAUGCCGCGUGGAUGAUGAAGGCCCUAGGGUUGUAAAGUCCUUUUAACGGGGAAGAUAAUGACGGUACCCGUAGAAUAAGCCCCGGCUAACUUCGUGCCAGCAGCCGCGGUAAUACGAAGGGGGCUAGCGUUGCUCGGAAUUACUGGGCGUAAAGCGCACGUAGGCGGGUCGAUAAGUCGGGGGUGAAAUCCUGGAGCUCAACUCCAGAACUGCCUUCGAAACUGUCGAUCUUGAGUUCGGGAGAGGUGAGUGGAACUGCGAGUGUAGAGGUGAAAUUCGUAGAUAUUCGCAAGAACACCAGUGGCGAAGGCGGCUCACUGGCCCGAUAC